GAUGAACGCUGGCGGCGUGCUUAACACAUGCAAGUCGAACGAAGCGCUUAAACGGAUUUCUUCGGAAUGAAGUUUUUGCGACUGAGUGGCGGACGGGUGAGUAACGCGUGGGUAACCUGCCUCAUACAGGGGGAUAACAGUUAGAAAUGACUGCUAAUACCGCAUAAGCCCACAGCUCGGCAUCGAGCAGAGGGAAAAGGAGUGAUCCGCUUUGAGAUGGCCUCGCGUCCGAUUAGCUGGUUGGUGAGGUAACGGCCCACCAAGGCGACGAUCGGUAGCCGGACUGAGAGGUUGAACGGCCACAUUGGGACUGAGACACGGCCCAG
This 326-nucleotide ribosomal RNA is filed under the name uncultured bacterium. RNAcentral describes it as "partial 16S ribosomal RNA". It matches the Rfam family "Bacterial small subunit ribosomal RNA", at positions 28 to 334 of the family's 1533-position model. The record is from RNAcentral.